AGCGAACGCUGGCGGCAGGCUUAACACAUGCAAGUCGAGCGGACCUUUCGGGGUCAGCGUCGGACGGGUGAGUAACGCGUUGGAACGUUCCUUCCGGUUCGGAAUAACCCUGGGAAACUAGUGCUAAUACCGGAUACGCCCUUAUGGUGUAAGGUUUACUGCCGGAAGAUCGGCCCGCUUCUUAUUAGCUUGUUGGUGGGGUAACCGCCUACCAAGGCUAGGAUCAGUAGAUGGUCUGAGAGGAUGAUAAGCCACACUGGGACUGAGACACGGCACAGACUACUACGGGAGGCAGCAGUGGGGAAUAUUGGAAAAUGGGGGAAAGCAUGAUCAAGCCAUGCCGGGUGAGUGAGGAAGGGAUUAGGGUUGUAAAGCUCUAUUAUCCGGGAAGAUAAUGACGGUACCGGAGGAAUAAGCCCCGGCUAACUUCGUG
This 433-nucleotide ribosomal RNA is filed under the name uncultured bacterium. Its description in RNAcentral is "partial 16S ribosomal RNA". It matches the Rfam family "Bacterial small subunit ribosomal RNA", at positions 29 to 507 of the family's 1533-position model. The record is from RNAcentral.